GGUCCUGAAUGAAAGCAGGAGAAAAAUCCGUCUCAAAAAGGAAAUUGAAAUCUUGACCAAGGAAAGUUUGAUGUCGCUGAUCACGCUUAAAGACAAAAAUCGAACUCCAUCACUGCUAAGUUUUCAGCUACAGAGUCGGAAGAAGGGUCUGGGCACGAGAGAAAAACCCAGGAGCUACCUGCUUUCAACCUGCUUGGGCGUCCGCGCAGGAAAACGGAAAGGAGGGCAGAUCUCGCUGAGCAUCGGGGUCCUGCAGCUCAUUCUGCACUGAAUCCACCCGGCCCCUAGCGUGGAGUCCGCACCCUCGUUGGGACUGGACCGACUCCCUGAGGCUGGCCCGGCGCGGCCCACCAACCUGUGACGCGAAGUCUGUCGGUACCGACCACCACCUCCUUCUCAUCGACGGCGAACAGCGGCUUGCCGUCUUGGGAGUUGAUCUGAAAUUGCUGGCUGUGAACUUCUACCAUUCUGGGACCUGCGGGACACACCAAACACCACAGCGUUACCCGGGCGCAGAGCGGAUUGGCCUUUCUCCCCGCCAGUCGAUCCUCACCCAUUAUUACAAGUGCAGUCUUCUCCCCUCAUUGCAUCAAGAAGUCGAAGAUCAAUCUACACUGGAACUUUGUUUCUACGGUUAGACACUCUCACUUUACCCGACGUCUGACAGAUUAAUGCCAUCAUCAGCAUCUUUUGAGUGCCUUCUGUAUGCACACCUCUGCAUCAGACACAGGUUGGAAACGCAGUUGACAAAAAUAGCUAAAAGAGGAUGAGAGUAGACAAAUUAAAAAAAACAAACAACUGUCCAGGUGAGUCACACGGAAAGGCCAAAGCACAAGGUUCUGAGAUGGCUGAGGGACCCCGUGACCGGAAAGAAGAGACGUGAGGGAACAAGAGGAGUGAGGAGGUGGCCUUUUUGAAAGCCUCUGAAGGAGGGGAGAGAUGUAACUGGAGAAGCUGAGUGGGGAGAGAGUGGCAGGUGGGGAGAAAGGAACAAGCCGUGGGUUAGAAGUGGGAGAGGAUAGGUUAGGUUUCCAUAUGGUUCUCUCUGCACGAGGAGGAGGGGCUCUACUACUGUUGAGCAAUAGAACAGCUUGGCUACUGUCAAACAGGUCUCUUCUAAAAUGUUCUCUUCUGCUUUUCCCAGGAAUUCCGGAUUAUAUAAAGGUAACAUGAGGUUGAUAUUCUCCAAAAACAACACAGGGCAAUCACUCGAGAAAUAAAUUAACCAAUGUCAAUGGUGGACAUGAAUUACAUUUGAUUCUUUCUGGCCCAAGGCUAAACUGACGAAUCACACCAGCAAGCACAAACGAAGAACAGCUCUCGGCUCUCCUUUGCUCCCCCAGGUGCAGUCUGAGAGUUCUUUCUCUGAUUCUGUCUCUCCACUCCCCAACGACUUCUGCAUUUCCCUCUGCAUCAGGCAGAAACUCCCAAUCCAUCAUGAGCUUCAAAGUUCUCCACAGCUCUUGCCUUGUAUAUCUGUUCUCUUCACACUCCUCCUCCUUCCAAGAUUACUUUCUCACCGUCCCUCACCCUUGCCUCUCCUUUCUUGCUCAUGCCCUUCUCCCUUCAAACCCACCAGAUCACAGCCCUACCCAACUUGAAAACCUCCUGAAAUCCCACCUCCUUUAGGAGGUUUCCCCAGAUUAAAUCUCAGCAUCUCAAAUUUCAGCAUCCCAAAUAGCAUCAUCCCAAUUGUAUCAUUAUAUGAAUUUUAUAUGUGUACAUGCAUGUAAUAUACAUUAUGUAUUAUAUAAACAUAUAGAUGAUUUAAGUAUAAAAUAUAAAUUAUCUAGCACACUCAUGUACUCCACUUACUUUUCCAUACUUUCAAUAUUACCAGUUGUACUGAUAUUUUCCCUCUGGCUCCCAUUAUCUAUAAAUAAAAUCAUAUCUGCUUGUUUCUCCUGUAAGAUUGUAAAUUCAUCUUGGGUAGGGGUCACGUCUUAUUUCUAGGGUACUCUUUCCUCCGACUGCUUAGUACAGUGCUCUGCACCCAGCU
This is a long non-coding RNA of Ornithorhynchus anatinus (platypus), 1999 nucleotides long. RefSeq lists it as uncharacterized. NCBI's taxonomy places the organism in Eukaryota, Metazoa, Chordata, Mammalia, Monotremata, Ornithorhynchidae. The record is from RefSeq and is a predicted model, not a curated record. The transcript has 3 exons.